ACUCAAAUGAAUAGACGGGGGCCCGCACAAGCGGUGGAGCAUGUGGUUUAAUUCGAUGCAACGCGAAGAACCUUACCUGCCCUUGACAUCCUCGGGAUUUGGCUGAGAAGCGAAAGUGCCUACGGGAACCGAGAGACAGGUGCUGCAUGGCUGUCGUCAGCUCGUGUCGUGAGAUGUUGGGUUAAGUCCCGUAACGAGCGCAACCCCUGUCCCUAGUUGCCAGCGAGAGAAGUCGGGAACUCUAGGGAGACUGCCGGUGAUAAACCGGAGGAAGGUGGGGAUGACGUCAAGUCAUCAUGGCCUUGAUGGGCAGGGCUACACACGUGCUACAAUGGGCUGUACAGAGGGUUGCCAACCUGCGAAGGGGAGCUAAUCUCAGAAAACAGUUCGUAGUCCGGAUUGGAGUCUGCAACUCGACUCCAUGAAGUUGGAAUCGCUAGUAAUCGCGAAUCAGCAUGUCGCGGUGAAUACGUUCCCGGGCCUUGCACACACCGCCCGU
This 499-nucleotide ribosomal RNA is filed under the name uncultured bacterium. RNAcentral describes it as "partial 16S ribosomal RNA". It matches the Rfam family "Bacterial small subunit ribosomal RNA", at positions 899 to 1397 of the family's 1533-position model. The record is from RNAcentral.